CCAGAGUUCACAUUCCAGCUGCGCCCCUGUUAGCUGUGGACCUUAGAUGUUACUUUACAGGCGUCUCAGUCUCUUAACCUGCGAAAUGGGAGAGUAAUGCUAACUUUAAAUGAUUGUUGUGAGAAUGAAAGUACCCUAGGCAUCCCAAGUCCACAGCGAGGACUCUAUAAAUGGCAUUCAUUUACUGUGGCCCGCUGGUGUGGGAUUUCAUUGAAAUGUGGGCAUUUUAAAGCAACCUGAGGAAGAGAGAAUCUUUUCCCUUACCUCUGUUCCUCCACUUUGAUUCCUAACCCAGGGAAAUAGAAACACGUUCCAUCAAAUUGCCAAAGCCCCAAGGGUCAUCCCCCCCCCAGCCCUUCCCAUCCAAAUGGCCACGGUUCCAGUGAUUCUAUCUUCUGCCUUUCUUCUAUUAUAAGCUGCCCUUGAAAUUUUUAAGUGAUUACAUGAACCUCUUAACUGCUCCCUCAGCUUAUUCCCCCCGCACCCCGCUCCCAAUCUCCAGAUGUUUAUGUACUCAGGUCCUGGUCCAGAUGAAAAUCCUUUAGUAGCUCUCCAUUGCCUUUGAGGGCACAGCACUGAUUUCCACUUGUGGCCCCACGGCCCUUCAUGAUCUGUCCUGCCUUCUGUCCAACUUCUGUUCCUGCCACCAUCCUGUGUUGCACCUGCUGGCCGUGCUGAACCACAUUGCACAUAUUCCAGGUUCUCUCACACCUCACUAAGUAUCACUACAUCUGUUUUUCCAAUAAGACUCUGAGCUCCUCAACUCUCCUUGGGCAUCUCCGGGGGGCCUGGUCUGUGGCAGGCUCCCAGUAGGAGGCUCUCCUGAUAAAGUGUAACAUUGCUGGGCAUGGCCAAUCGGGGUUCUUUAUAUCCUCACACCUCUAUGGGGUAGAGACGCUUCAUCCAUCCAUUCAGCUGUAUUUUUUUUUUUUUUUUGUCUUUUUGCCUUUUCUAGGGCCGCUCCCAUACCUGGGAACCCCAUAUGUCGUGGGUGCAGGCCUAAAAAAACAAAAGCCAAAAUAAUGAAAAUAAUAAUUACACCAAGGCAGCUGGUACUAACUGGAACAUGUUCUACUUAGAUGCAAAAAAAUUAAAAGAUUCAAUUCCUGAUUUCAGGGAACUUUCUGGCCACAUGAUGAGUCAAAGCCCCCAAACCCACAUACUUGAGUCAAUUAAAGAAUCAAGUAAAGGUAAAUUAUUAAGAAGGAAAGCAAAGCACAUUUUGUGUUUCCCCCUAGAGAUUGUAUUCUCUUUAAGAGAAAAUAAGUCUUUUUUGUCCUUGUAUUAUUCAUGGCCCCAGAAGUGUUUUGGCUUAAAUAGGGUGUCAGUGAAGAUGUGACGAAUAAAUGAACGAGAGAAUGAAUAAUACAAACUCUCCUGGAGGGAAUGUCUAAAAAAGAGGGGAAAAAGUCCCCUGGCUUGGAUUUAUGAAUUUGAGGCAAGUAUAGAUCUUUUCUAAAAAUGUAUUUUUUUGCUCAGUCAUAACAACAAUAAUGAUCAUUUAAAAGGGAAAAAGGAGUUCCCGUUGUGGCUCAGCAGGUUAAGAACCUGACAUAGGGUCUGUGAGGACAGGAGUUUGCUCCCUGGCCUUGAUCAGGGGGUUAAGGAUCCAUCGUUGCCACAAACUGGCAUAGGUUGCAAAUGAGGCUCAGAUCUGAUUCCUGGCCCAGUAACUCCACACGCGGUGCGAGGCGGCCAAGAAAAAUAAAUUAAUUAAAAUAAAUUACAAAGUAAAAAGAACAAAGCAAAUAACCUACAGUCUGUGGACUCUUAAGCUGGAUUUUUGCAAAUGGGAAAGGCGGACAAAAGCUGGAGGAAUGACUGCAAGGAGGGAAGAUGCCUGAGAGGGAGUCUGGCAUCACAGCCCAUGUCUGUAUCCUACAAGAGGUGAACAAAUUUGAAGACUCAAAAGAUGUGGUUCCUACCCCCAAGGGGUUUCCAGUCUUUGGGGGAAAAAAUAAAAACAGUUUUUAAUAACCUUUAACUGGUUGUAUGCCCUUGGGCAAGUCCGUUCCCUCCCUGGUGUCCUUCAGCCUUCUGGCUCAAAAUUUCUCUGAUCUUUCAAUCCUACAAUCCUGGAAGCUUCCUGGAAUUGGUGGGCUAGGAGCUAGGCCUUGAAGGAAGGAGCAAGAUUUGGAGAAAAGAGCCAGUCCUGAGGUGGGCUGGAGUCUUCCAGCUGAGAUAAAAUGGGACAGGGUGCCUUGGCCUUCUUGAAGGAGAACUUUAAAAGCCAGGCUGGUUGACUUUUAAAUUUGACCUGAUAAGCAGGUCCUUGGGCUGGAGAUGAAAGGAGUGUCUCUGAGAGAUUAAUCUGAUGGCUCUGGGCCACUGAUCCUGGAUCUAUCUGGAAGUGGGGUGAAGACUUGGAGGUUCUCAGAGUGGCUUUUGCAAGAGUAAUGUGGGCCCAGCCUUUCAGAGAGGGUUUGAAGCGCCUUCUGUCAAUCAUAUGAUACACGUGGCUUCGGUAGAGUUUCAUUUUCCUUAACCACAAGUAGUUUAAACCUUUUUUUUUUUUUAUUAUUAUUAUUUUUAUUUUUAUCUUUUUGUGUUUUAGGGCCGCACAGGCCACAUAUGGAGGUUCCCAGGCUAGGGGUUGAAUUGGAGCUGUAACUGCCGGCCUACACCAGAGCCACAGCAACUUGGGAUUCAAGCCUCGUCUGUGACCUAUACCACAGCUCACAGCAAUGCCGGAUCCUUAACCCACUGAGCGAGGCCAGGGAUUGAACCUGCAUCCUUAUGGAUGCCAGUCGGGUUCAUUAACCGUUUAGCCACAACGGGAACUCCUAAACCAUUAUUUUUAUUCUCAUCUAAAAAAA
RNAcentral lists this long non-coding RNA (2816 nucleotides) under Sus scrofa (pig). RNAcentral's name for it is "lncRNA (ENSSSCG00045009683.1)". Lineage: Eukaryota; Metazoa; Chordata; Mammalia; Artiodactyla; Suidae. The record is from RNAcentral.